UUUUAUUUCUACAGGCAAGUAAUUUAGAACAAGUUCUGUCCCCAUGCUCUGAGACGUGUCUGUACCUCAUGAAAUACAUUGGAUGACGCAAUUCAUACGAGACGAGCAUGUGUCCUCAAGUCCUUGAGCAUCUACUUGAACGAAGACCACGAGAAACUUGCGAAGGAUUAUAUGAACACAGACCUCGAGGCCAGUGCUUCCAUGGAGCAAACUGUGAUGGGCGUGUAUGUCAUACUGAAGGAGGGUGCGGAGCCUGAAGAUAAC
Molecule: long non-coding RNA, 264 nt
Organism: Sander lucioperca (pikeperch)
Lineage: Eukaryota; Metazoa; Chordata; Actinopteri; Perciformes; Percidae
Exons: 3
Source: RefSeq, a predicted model, not a curated record